Molecule: ribosomal RNA, 253 nt
Filed under: uncultured bacterium
Lineage: Bacteria
Description: partial 16S ribosomal RNA
Rfam family: Bacterial small subunit ribosomal RNA
Source: RNAcentral
UACGUAGGGUGCAAGCGUUAUCCGGAUUUAUUGGGCGUAAAGGGCUCGUAGGCGGUUCGUCGCGUCCGGUGUGAAAGUCCAUCGCUUAACGGUGGAUCCGCGCCGGGUACGGGCGGGCUUGAGUGCGGUAGGGGAGACUGGAAUUCCCGGUGUAACGGUGGAAUGUGUAGAUAUCGGGAAGAGCACCAAUGGCGAAGGCAGGUCUCUGGGCCGUUACUGACGCUGAGGAGCGAAAGCGUGGGGAGCGAACAGG